Molecule: ribosomal RNA, 528 nt
Filed under: uncultured bacterium
Lineage: Bacteria
Description: bacterial SSU rRNA
Rfam family: Bacterial small subunit ribosomal RNA
Source: RNAcentral
GGUUCGCUAAUACCGCAUACGUCCUACGGGAGAAAGAGGGGGAUCUUCGGACCUCUCGCUAAUAGAUGAGCCUAGGCCGGAUUAGCUAGUUGGUAGGGUAAAGGCCUACCAAGGCGACGAUCUGUAGCUGGUCUGAGAGGAUGGCCAGCCACACUGGAACUGAGACACGGUCCAGACUCCUACGGGAGGCAGCAGUGGGGAAUAUUUGACAAUGGGGGCAACCCUGAUCCAGCCAUGCCGCGUGUGUGAAGAAGGCCUUCGGGUUGUAAAGCACUUUAAGCGAGGAGGAAGGUUUUUAGUUUAAUACACUAAAGAAUUGACGUUACUCGCAGAAUAAGCACCGGCUAACUCUGUGCCAGCAGCCGCGGUAAUACAGAGGGUGCAAGCGUUAAUCGGAAUUACUGGGCGUAAAGCGCGCGUAGGCGGUUUGUUAAGUCGGAUGUGAAAUCCCUGGGCUCAACCUAGGCACUGCAUCCGAUACUGGCUAACUAGAGUGUGGGAGAGGAAGGUAGAAUUCCAGGUGUAGCG